Pipra filicauda (Wire-tailed manakin) is the source of this 734-nucleotide long non-coding RNA. RefSeq lists it as uncharacterized. The transcript has 4 exons. The record is from RefSeq and is a predicted model, not a curated record. NCBI's taxonomy places the organism in Eukaryota, Metazoa, Chordata, Aves, Passeriformes, Pipridae.
UCUCGCAAAACUGAAAUAGCAAUACGUAUUUUUUGCAGCAAAUAAAUAAACUUGAUAAUCAGAGUAAAAGAACAUGUAUAUACAGAGGAAAUACAUCCAGGAUGUUCAUGUUAAUUUUGCAUAGAAUCACAUAAUGAGAGCCAAAUGUUGGAAAAAAACUUCAGACUAGAAAUAUGAACAACCCUUAGUAGAGAUGUAUUACGAAAUGGAGAACAGUAACAUUACAUGGAAUGCAGCUUUCAAUCCGUAGGUUGUUCCCCUGGGGAAGAUACCUUUCACAGCCUUAGCUCUUCACAAGUGCUCUCUCAUAUUGUGGUUAAUUGCUCUGGCUUCUUGCAACUGAUCCUCAGAUGAGUCCUUUCUCCGCCAGCUUCUGCUACAUCAACUGAAACCCAAGUCAGUGACUAUGCCAAGACAGAGGUGGCAUUUAUACAAGGAGUACUAACAGACAAAUGUAAUUUACUGGGCACUGAGAUCUGCUGGCAUGGCACGACUGAUGUCUAAACCUCCAAUCUCAACCUUCAAUCCAGAGGGCUGCAUACAAGCUGUGCGUUGGGAAUGUUCCAUGGAGCACACUGACUGGUAAACCAUGCCUAAAUCCAUGGAAACUGAUAGCUUAAAACUGAAUAAAUUUCUUAAUGAUAAUGUGUAGUGCGCUGACCCUGGCCAGAUGCCAGGUACCCACUAAAGCCACUCUCUCCCUCUCCCUCUGCAAAUAGAUAGAGGAGAGGAAA